This 497-nucleotide ribosomal RNA is filed under the name uncultured bacterium. RNAcentral's name for it is "partial 16S ribosomal RNA". It matches the Rfam family "Bacterial small subunit ribosomal RNA", at positions 28 to 507 of the family's 1533-position model. The record is from RNAcentral.
GAUGAACGCUGGCGGCGUGCCUAAUACAUGCGAGUCGAGCGAACAGACGAGGAGCUUGCUCCUCUGACGUUAGCGGCGGACGGGUGAGUAACACGUGGAUAACCUACCUAUAAGACUGGGAUAACUUCGGGAAACCGGAGCUAAUACCGGAUAAUAUAUUGAACCGCAUGGUUCAAUAGUGAAAGACGGUUUUGCUGUCACUUAUAGAUGGAUCCGCGCCGCAUUAGCUAGUUGGUAAGGUAACGGCUUACCAAGGCAACGAUGCGUAGCCGACCUGAGAGGGUGAUCGGCCAAACUGGAACUGAGAAACGGUCCAGACUCCUACGGGAGGCAGCAGUAGGGAAUCUUCCGCAAUGGGCGAAAGCCUGACGGAGCAACGCCGCGUGAGUGAUGAAGGUCUUCGGAUCGUAAAACUCUGUUAUUAGGGAAGAACAAAUGUGUAAGUAACUAUGCACGUCUUGACGGUACCUAAUCAGAAAGCCACGGCUAACUACGUG